RNAcentral lists this ribosomal RNA (253 nucleotides) under uncultured bacterium. RNAcentral describes it as "partial 16S ribosomal RNA". It matches the Rfam family "Bacterial small subunit ribosomal RNA", at positions 524 to 776 of the family's 1533-position model. The record is from RNAcentral.
UACGUAGGGUGCGAGCGUUAAUCGGAAUUACUGGGCGUAAAGGGUGCGCAGGCGGUUCUGUAAGUCAGGUGUGAAAGCCCCGGGCUUAACCUGGGAAUGGCGCUUGAAACUACAGGACUGGAGUAUGGCAGAGGGAGGUGGAAUUCCACGUGUAGCGGUGAAAUGCGUAGAGAUGUGGAGGAACACCGAUGGCGAAGGCAGCCCCCUGGGCUGACACUGACGCUCAGGCACGAAAGCGUGGGGAGCAAACAGG